UGGUAUUAAUUUGAGUGCAGCAACAGUGACAUAAUAGCCUAUGGAUUGGUUAGUAAUUAUACCAUCAUUGAUUACUUCAGUUUUUCUAAUUUGGAUAAUAUAUGUUUGACUUAGUGUAGCUCAUGUCAUCCAUCUGUUUUUGAAGCAUGUACGUGUGCCAUUUUGUGAUCGUCCAAGUAUGCAAAUAAAACAAUUCAGUCUGAGUCAUUCAUAUUAUUUUCUAUAUAAUCGUUGGAUCACACAGUCCUUGCUUUUCUCAUACUUCGAUCAUACAGUAUCAGUUAGCCGUCUAAGAAGUCAUAGCGAUUACGAGGUCAUGGAGGUAUAUGCCAUGAACUAAUGUAGUGAAAUCCGUUUAUUUUGGGGUACUUUGGUCAUGCAUGUUUUUCUGCUAUUAGUCAUUAUUAAGGUAGAAUCUUAUUAUCUUUAGUUCCAAAUCAUUUCGGAUUCGUGAUUUCAGGGUGCAGGUGGAAGGUAUCAAAUCUGCUUCUGCCUCCAUGGUGCCUGCAAUGGCGGUAAGGACGAUAUCUAUCUUCGGCAGUGACUAUGCCAACAUCCUCACCUCCCAAACCCCCGUCUCAUUCUCAUGUCACGCACUUAAAGUUUCAUCAUUCGCUUCCACACCUCAACUGUCUCAGCGGGUGCCCCUCCAGCAGCAACACGACGGCAACAGGACAUCAUGGCCCUCAAGUUCUCGGUUUAUACGUGCAAUCAAGGCUGGAGCGUCCCUUCUCCUAUCCUCACAAAGUUCAUGGAGAAUCUAAAUUAAUGAGGAUCAUAUCAUUAGCAUAUUUGGCAAUCUGACAAGUCGAGUGCCAGUUUGUUAGGAUAGAACCAUACGAUUUACUGUGGAUCAGAAUUGGAAAGAUCCGCUUUAUUCAUUUGCAUAUAUUACCACACGUACAAGAGUUUAUGGAUGACGAGAAGUGGAGGACCGGUGGCAAUCCAAUAGUAUUUGAGAACAACGAUCCAUUAAUUAGUAUUUAGAAUUAUUUUGUUCUUAAACCUAUUCUACGUACCAAUGAAAUAUUGAUGAUUUUGAGUUG
This 1046-nucleotide long non-coding RNA is filed under the name Triticum aestivum (bread wheat). RNAcentral describes it as "long non-coding RNA (TAES_LNC018429)". The record is from RNAcentral. Lineage: Eukaryota; Viridiplantae; Streptophyta; Magnoliopsida; Poales; Poaceae.